Phalacrocorax carbo (great cormorant) is the source of this 974-nucleotide non-coding RNA. The record is from RefSeq and is a predicted model, not a curated record. NCBI's taxonomy places the organism in Eukaryota, Metazoa, Chordata, Aves, Suliformes, Phalacrocoracidae.
GGCGGGGCUGGGCCCGGGCACUGCUCCGCUCCGGGGGGAGAAGGGCUGAGACACUGUCCCGGAGAAGACAAGGGUGGAAGAGCGGCGGCUCGGGCUCGGGGGUGCUGGCAGGGCAGCCAGGGCACGGCGGGGCGGGGUGAAUGGAUAUGAAAUCAACUGGAAGAGUCUCUGCCCUGCCUCCCUGGAGGGUCAGUCCACAGAAGGAACAGCUACUGAAACUAUUAGUUCAAGUGAUAAGGAUCUCUGCUGUGUCACUAUGAAGCUCUGACCUUUGCUGAUGAUAUAAGUGGCAGGGCACUCUCUCUCUCAUACAUUGUACUACUACAUCCAUAGGCCACAGACUCAAAGAAUAAUUUUGCCUGGAAGGGGACCUUCAGAGGUCAUCUAGCCCAGCCCACUGCUCAAAACUGCUGCGUCCACUCAUGACUUGAACAUCUCCAAGAAUGGAGAUCCCACAGCCUCUCUGGGUCGUGGUGCCAUGGUGUCUGAAUGCCCUCCUGAGGCUGGGAUUGUAAAAAUGUUAUCUCCUGAAAUGUUGUCACCUCAUAUGGUCAAAUCAGCUACUGCAAAACCUCCCAGACAUCAUAUCUGAGAAAGUGUAUUUGUUCUGCUUGUUGAUGCCUGUUGGAAUUUCUUUCACAAUGUUUUGAAUCUUUCCCCAAAUCGUUGUCAUUUGUACAUCUGACUGAGUGCAUUUCCUCACUCAUAUAUUUUAACACUUCUCAUAUGCCCUUGAGCAUCAACAGAAACGCAUUUUUCAUUGGCUGGAUUCACGUUGCUGCUUUUUUCAUUGCAUUUGUAACGUGACAUUCGUUUUUGUUUUGUGUGUUUUUUUUUUCUCCUGGUACUCCACUUAUAAUGGCAAAGUAUUUAGAAAGAGCAAGCUGGUUCAUUUGAUUCUGCUGUAUUAAGAGAAUGCCUCUAACUGCAAUGUUAGAGCUAAUCUAAUUAAAAUAAAUGACAAAUAAACAGCA